This 873-nucleotide ribosomal RNA is filed under the name Triticum aestivum (bread wheat). RNAcentral's name for it is "partial small subunit ribosomal RNA". The record is from RNAcentral. Lineage: Eukaryota; Viridiplantae; Streptophyta; Magnoliopsida; Poales; Poaceae.
AUGGUGGUCGAUGCUCUGGCAGCCAUCCUGGAUAAGGCCAAGGCAGCAGGCCACAUUAAGGGAAUAGUACCACAUCUGGUUGGGGGGAACGGGAUUUCCCUGCUCCAAUAUGCGGAUGACACCAUUAUCAUGGUGGAGGGUUUGGAGAGUGAUAUAUCCAACCUCAAGUUCCUCCUGUUGUGCUUUCGGCAAAUGUCCGGCCUUAAGAUCAACGUCGACAAGAGUGAGGUGAUGGUCUUGGGCUACACCCAAGAUGAGUGCCAAAGCAUUGCAGAUUGGCUUAACUGCCACCUCGGGUGCUUCCCCACCACAUAUCUGGGGAUCCCCAUUAGCGACUCCAGGCUUACAGUGGCCGAGCUGCACCCCAUGAUGGGAAAGCUUCAGCACCGGAUCGAGCCCUGGCAGGGUAGGUGGCUUUCGAAAGCGGCCCGUACGGUGCUCAUUAACUCGUCCCUCUCCAGCCUGCUAUUAUUCAUCAUGAGCUUCUACAGCCUUCCUGAGACCCUCCAUCAUGAGAUUGCCACCGUUCAGGGGUGGUUCUUCUGGGCAGGCGAGGGGGAUAAGCAGAACUACCACAUGGUCAGGUGGUCUGAGAUCUACAAACCUCGCGACCAGGGCGGACUGGGUAUCAUGUCCUCCAAACACAUGAAUAUUGCCCUUCUGACUAAGUGGCUAUGGCAGAUUGCUAAUGGUGAUGGUGGCUUGUGGCUCCACAUCAUUCAGCAGAAAUACCUUCGCGAUCAGCCUCUCGCCUUCUGCCACGAUCUGGGGCUCCCAGUUCUGGCAGUCCAUCAUUCAACUCCUCCCUGUCCUUCGGAUCGGGACCUCGAUCGAGAUUGGCUCCGGCACCGCCACGUUGUUCUGGUUCGAUAG